Molecule: ribosomal RNA, 368 nt
Filed under: uncultured organism
Description: bacterial SSU rRNA
Rfam family: Bacterial small subunit ribosomal RNA
Source: RNAcentral
CGGAGGAUCCAAGCGUUAUCCGGAUUUAUUGGGUUAAAGGGUGCGUAGGUGGCUUUUUAAGUCAGGGGUGAAAGACGGUAGCUUAACUAUCGCAGUGCCUUUGAUACUGAAGAGCUUGAAUGAACUAGAGGUAGGCGGAAUGUGACAAGUAGCGGUGAAAUGCAUAGAUAUGUCACAGAACACCAAUUGCGAAGGCAGCUUACUAUGGUUAGAUUGACACUGAGGCACGAAAGCGUGGGGGAUCAAACAGGAUUAGAUACCCUGGUAGUCCACGCCCUAAACGAUGAAUACUCGAUGUUGGCGAUAUACGGUCAGCGUCUAAGCGAAAGCGUUAAGUAUUCCACCUGGGGAGUACGCCCGCAAGGGUG